UAGGAUUCUGUGCUCUGUUUAAAAAUGUGAUAAAAAUGUUUGUAAAGAUGCUUGCUUUGUAGGAAUGAUUUUUGGGGAGCUUCCUUUCUUGUGUGCAAGGAAGAUUAAUCAGGCAUAAACACCUAACAUGAGGAGUCAGUGGAAAAUCUUCUUCGAAAAGAUUAAAAAACCCAAACUUUAGAUUCCAGUUUCUUGCAUUUAAAAAAAAAAAAAGCUCUACUAGUGCUUUGAUAUUGAAUUUACAUGUCAGCCUAUGAAGGAGCUGUGAAGUGCUUUAGUCUUGAAAUUGCUAUGGAGUCAGUGCCUUUUUUUAAAAGUGAAAAUUAUUAAUCUGGAUCACAAGAAGGCUUGGAUUUUUGGAACUGGGAUAAUCUCAUGCAACUGAAGAUGUUCAUGAAUUGUUAGGUCACAGCUGGAACCACUGAUGGAAGCACCUGGUGAAAGGGUGUAGCCAGCUCUGGGAACACAGGUGGAAGCAAUUCCUCCUAACCUCAUAUAAUGGCUGGCAGCUGGGAAAAAUUUCUACUUCGAAAUCAUCUCCUUUGGAGUGCUUGGUGCUUGAUCCUUGGAAUGGGCUGCCUUCAUUACAACUAUCCUUUGGAAGUUCUGCAGUAGAUAUCUUGGUGUUUUUUUUCUGCCCUUGGACUUUCCCUGAACAGUGCCUGACUCACAUUCAUCUUGGUCUAAUGUGUAUAUCCUACCUUUUUCCUAAGAUGAUUCUGAGAGUAAUCUUGGAAACUUCCAGACAUUAUUUUUGUCUUAAUAAAAGAAUUAAAUUCACCUUAACUGUGCUAGUGUUGUGUGAUGAACGCAUUCUUAUUCAGUUCCCCCAUUAUGUCCUUUAUUUUGUGCAAUCUCAUUUUCCUUUUCCUCCUUAACAUGAUUUUUCUCAAGUUCAUGUAACAAUAGGAAUUGAUCAGCAGGACUUCCUCUCAAUAUGUAUGCAGGAGAAUGUUGUCUGCAUGUGUGUGCAUUAAAUUCCUUGUAUUAGAGAAGGAAAAGCCUAUUUCUUUCAAAAGUAGCAUCCUUGUAGAAUGUUAUCAAUCCAGUUAAAACAUUAAAUUUUUCAGACUUUAAGCACUCCUUUCAAAAUCCAUUUUAUUCCACAUGUUCUCUUCAGUUAUUCAGGAAACCUUGGAGAUAUGACUUAGCUAGAAUGCCAUUAGCUGUGAGCUGUCUACUCUUUGUCCCUUUUCUUUCUGGGAUUUUUCACUGCAUCAUUCUGGUGGGUAAUCUGUGGUAAAUGUAACUUCUGGAAAAACUGUCUUACACAUAUUUAUCCUUAAUUUAAAUAAUUCAUUAAAAGCAAGAUUGGUCUCCUGAGGGAAGUGUACGUACUUUUCCAGUACCAUGUAUUUCUGCUUUUUGCUGAAAGCUGUUACAUUUGCUUUUAACUACACUCAAAUUAUUUUAGUAGAAUUAGGUCCUACAUGCACAUUCUUAACGUAUCAUAAUAACACUUCCUUAGCCUCAAUUGAUUUGUACAAAAUUGGAUGGAAGACUUUUACUACUUUGCUGUCUUCAAGUUUAUUUAUCCCAAGAUAAGUUUUUAAAUACUGAGAGAAACAUGGAAACAACCAUUCAUUUAUCUUCUGGGAUGAUUAGUUUAUCUUCAAGUUUAAGUGCUUUAAUACUGAGCAACUGCAGAGAUUUGUGUGGUACUUUGAUACUGUAAUCAAAGUUAUUCUCUAAAGGCUGAUUAUGAUGAUAAACUUCUCAGAUUGUAGUGAUUCUUGUAAGAAUAGGAAUACCUUGAACUGUGAGAUCUAUUUCUAUGUUGAAAAGUACUCAUUAUAUUGUAAUUGUUGAAGACACAUUUGUUGAUCGUAUUAAAAAUAAAACU
This is a long non-coding RNA of Tympanuchus pallidicinctus (lesser prairie-chicken), 1843 nucleotides long. RefSeq lists it as uncharacterized. The transcript has 5 exons. NCBI's taxonomy places the organism in Eukaryota, Metazoa, Chordata, Aves, Galliformes, Phasianidae. The record is from RefSeq and is a predicted model, not a curated record.